AGAGUUUGAUCCUGGCUCAGAUUGAACGCUGGCGGCAUGCUUUACACAUGCAAGUCGGACGGCAGCACAGAGAAGCUUGCUUCUUGGGUGGCGAGUGGCGAACGGGUGAGUAACAUAUCGGAACGUACCGGGCAGUGGGGGAUAACUAAUCGAAAGAUUAGCUAAUACCGCAUAUCUUCUGAGGAAGAAAGCAGGGGACCAUUUGGCCUUGCGCUGUUUGAGCGGCCGAUAUCUGAUUAGCUAGUUGGUGGGGUAAAGGCCUACCAAGGCGACGAUCAGUAGCGGGUCUGAGAGGAUGAUCCGCCACACUGGGACUGAGACACGGCCCAGACUCCUACGGGAGGCAGCAGUGGGGAAUUUUGGACAAUGGGCGCAAGCCUGAUCCAGCCAUGCCGCGUGUCUGAAGAAGGCCUUCGGGUUGUAAAGGACUUUUGUCAGGGAAGAAAAGGGCGGGGUUAAUACCCCUGUCUGAUGACGGUACCUGAAGAAUAAGCACCGGCUAACUACGUGCCAGCAGCCGCGGUAAUACGUAGGGUGCGAGCGUUAAUCGGAAUUACUGGGCGUAAAGCGGGCGCAGACGGUUACUUAAGCAGGAUGUGAAAUCCCCGGGCUCAACCUGGGAACUGCGUUCUGAACUGGGUGACUAGAGUGUGUCAGAGGGAGGUAGAAUUCCACGUGUAGCAGUGAAAUGCGUAGAGAUGUGGAGGAAUACCGAUGGCGAAGGCAGCCUCCUGGGAUAACACUGACGUUCAUGCCCGAAAGCGUGGGUAGCAAACAGGAUUAGAUACCCUGGUAGUCCACGCCCUAAAC
This 810-nucleotide ribosomal RNA is filed under the name uncultured Neisseria sp. RNAcentral's name for it is "bacterial SSU rRNA". It matches the Rfam family "Bacterial small subunit ribosomal RNA", at positions 8 to 807 of the family's 1533-position model. Lineage: Bacteria; Pseudomonadati; Pseudomonadota; Betaproteobacteria; Neisseriales; Neisseriaceae. The record is from RNAcentral.